Molecule: ribosomal RNA, 253 nt
Filed under: uncultured bacterium
Lineage: Bacteria
Description: partial 16S ribosomal RNA
Rfam family: Bacterial small subunit ribosomal RNA
Source: RNAcentral
UACGUAGGGUCCGAGCGUUGUCCGGAAUUACUGGGCGUAAAGAGCUCGUAGGUGGUUUGUCGCGUUGUCCGUGAAAACUCACAGCUCAACUGUGGGCGUGCGGGCGAUACGGGCAGACUUGAGUACUGCAGGGGAGACUGGAAUUCCUGGUGUAGCGGUGAAAUGCGCAGAUAUCAGGAGGAACACCGGUGGCGAAGGCGGGUCUCUGGGCAGUAACUGACGCUGAGGAACGAAAGCGUGGGUAGCGAACAGG